Molecule: long non-coding RNA, 329 nt
Organism: Loxodonta africana (African savanna elephant)
Lineage: Eukaryota; Metazoa; Chordata; Mammalia; Proboscidea; Elephantidae
Exons: 3
Source: RefSeq, a predicted model, not a curated record
CCCAGCAGAAGUUCGGCUUCGCGUUCUUUGGCCUUUUCUGGCCGGGUCACAUCGACACGCCCCCGAUGCGCUUGUCAGGCAGCCGCUGGGGAGGACUCGGCGGGAGCCUCAAAUACCACCUACUCCCGGGCCUCUCUCCCAGUUGAUGCUUCUAUUUUAGGCACCACGUUAUUUCCUGCUGUGAUUUUCUUCUGCCGCUAAUUCGGGCUCUGAGAUAUACUACUGCCCUGAAAUCACAUCACCCAAAGCUACUCGCUCUGGACAAAAGUAUUCCCAUAUACUGACCUGCCUCCUGACGCAACAAUCCCAAAGUAUCAAGGAUCCGACAU